Molecule: long non-coding RNA, 371 nt
Organism: Hyla sarda
Lineage: Eukaryota; Metazoa; Chordata; Amphibia; Anura; Hylidae
Exons: 3
Source: RefSeq, a predicted model, not a curated record
GCAGGAGGCCAGCCUUACCUACUUGCUGCUGUGCAGUGAAGAUCCGCCUGCCGUCACAACAGCCGCCUCCGCAGCUGGGGCCCCGAUCCCACCGCCGAUGCCGGGGAUCAGGGGCCCCAUCCUCAGUAUUCACCAAGGAAAAUGAAAUGCCAGGUGAAAUACAGCGAGAUAAGAACCCCAUUGGAAUUUAUUCAACUCUUUAGAAUGAACCAUUCUUUCACCAAUAUUUUAAGGCAGACUGCAUCGUUAGGUCCUUGGUGGCAAUAGGAUUGAAUGAAACAGCUGAAUUCAAUGACAAAGUUGUCUCCCAAUGUUUUUGCCCAUAAUUAUAUGUUGUGACAUUACAGAAGAUUUAUGAAAUAUCAAUUACA